RNAcentral lists this ribosomal RNA (801 nucleotides) under Raphidocelis sp. C1D. Its description in RNAcentral is "eukaryotic LSU rRNA". The stretch from base 305 to 458 matches the Rfam family "5.8S ribosomal RNA". The record is from RNAcentral. Lineage: Eukaryota; Viridiplantae; Chlorophyta; Chlorophyceae; Sphaeropleales; Selenastraceae.
GAAGUCGUAACAAGGUUUCCGUAGGUGAACCUGCGGAAGGAUCAUUGAAUCAAUCAAAAUCACAAUGCGAACCUGCCGUCCCAUGCUUUUGCACAGCGCGGUGCCCUGCGCUGGCGGGCCUUUGGGGGGUUGCCCUCUCGGGUGUCCUCUCGGGGUUAUCUGUGCAAUUGCGUGUUUUUUCCAAUCCCACACCCAGUUCAACAACUGAGUUGUGCCUCUCAAGCCCUCGAGGCUUUUGUGGGCACAGCCAAACUAACCUCUGAAGCUUCAAGGCGACCACACCGUGGUGGCCACGAACGAAAACAACUCUCAACAACGGAUAUCUUGGCUCUCGCAACGAUGAAGAACGCAGCGAAAUGCGAUACGUAGUGUGAAUUGCAGAAUUCCGUGAACCAUCGAAUCUUUGAACGCAUAUUGCGCUCGAGCCCUCGGGCAAGAGCAUGUCUGCCUCAGCGUCGGUUUCACCCCUCACACCCCCGCAUUCCCUCAAAAGCAUGCGGUGUCACGCCCAAACCGGGCGUGCGGGUGCGGAGUUGGCUUCCCCAAACCCGGGCUCUACGCUCCGCUGGAUUGGGUUGGCUGAAGUGCAGAGGCUUGAGCAAGGACCCUGAUGGGCACCAACUGGAUAGGUAGUGCCAGCCAGCCGGCUGUCUACACGAAGUUGUGGCUUGCGGACCUUGCUGGGGGCCAGCAGGAAUCGUGCCCCAAUGCGGCACGUUCAAACUUUCGACCUGAGCUCAGGCAAGAUUACGGACUGAACUUAAGCAUAUCAUUAAGUCCAGGAAAAGAAACUAACCAGGA